RNAcentral lists this ribosomal RNA (383 nucleotides) under uncultured eukaryote. RNAcentral describes it as "partial 18S ribosomal RNA". It matches the Rfam family "Eukaryotic small subunit ribosomal RNA", at positions 592 to 976 of the family's 1831-position model. The record is from RNAcentral.
CAAUAGCGUAUAUUAAAGUUGUUGCAGUUAAAAAGCUCGUAGUUGGAUUUCUGGUAGGAGUGACCGUGCCAGACUUGAUUGUCUGUGUAUUGUGUUGUCUCCAGCCAUCCUUGUGGAGAACUUUUCUUGCAUUAAUUUGUAGGGAUUGGGACCCGCAUCGUUUACUGUGAAAAAAUUAGAGUGUUUAAAGCAGGCAAUCGCUUGAAUACAUUAGCAUGGAAUAAUAAGAUAGGACUUUGGUACUAUUUUGUUGGUUUGUAUACCAAAUUAAUGAUCAACAGGAACAGUUUGAGGAUAUUCGUAUGAACAUGUCAGAGGUGAAAUUCUUGGAUUUUGAUCAGACGAACUACUGCGAAAUCAUUUAUCAAGGAUGUUUUCAUUAA